AGUUUUGCGAACGCACAUUGACUUUCUCUCGCCUUACUUCUAAGGAUAGAUAGAAAAGAAAGGGUUGGAGAGAGUGACUUUCAUUCUCUCCUUUCUAAAGCUGCGAAAGGCGGCCCCCCCAGAACAAAGCCCCACCCUUCUUUUCCCCCUUUAAUGAAAGACCCUCGCCCCGCUUCCUAUUCAUUUGUGGGUCGGGACCCGAGGGUCUUUUUUU
This 214-nucleotide long non-coding RNA is filed under the name Populus tremula. Its description in RNAcentral is "long non-coding RNA (PTRE_LNC001256)". The record is from RNAcentral. Lineage: Eukaryota; Viridiplantae; Streptophyta; Magnoliopsida; Malpighiales; Salicaceae.